ACUGAGCGGCGGACGGGUGAGUAACGCGUGGGUAACCUGCCUCAUACAGGGGGAUAACAGUUGGAAACGGCUGCUAAUACCGCAUAAGCGCACAGUACCGCAUGGUACGGUGUGAAAAACUCCGGUGGUAUGAGGUGGACCCGCGUCUGAUUAGGUAGUUGGUGGGGUAACGGCCUACCAAGCCGACGAUCAGUAGCCGACCUGAGAGGGUGACCGGCCACAUUGGGACUGAGACACGGCCCAA
RNAcentral lists this ribosomal RNA (244 nucleotides) under uncultured bacterium. Its description in RNAcentral is "partial 16S ribosomal RNA". It matches the Rfam family "Bacterial small subunit ribosomal RNA", at positions 90 to 334 of the family's 1533-position model. The record is from RNAcentral.